This 2902-nucleotide ribosomal RNA is filed under the name Pseudomonas fluorescens BRIP34879. Its description in RNAcentral is "bacterial LSU rRNA". It matches the Rfam family "Bacterial large subunit ribosomal RNA". Lineage: Bacteria; Pseudomonadati; Pseudomonadota; Gammaproteobacteria; Pseudomonadales; Pseudomonadaceae. The record is from RNAcentral. RNAcentral also lists the same sequence under 1 other name.
GGUCAAGUGAAGAAGCGCAUACGGUGGAUGCCUUGGCAGUCAGAGGCGAUGAAAGACGUGGUAGCCUGCGAAAAGCUUCGGGGAGUCGGCAAACAGACUUUGAUCCGGAGAUGUCUGAAUGGGGGAACCCAGCCAUCAUAAGAUGGUUAUCUUACGCUGAAUACAUAGGCGUAAGAGGCGAACCAGGGGAACUGAAACAUCUAAGUACCCUGAGGAAAAGAAAUCAACCGAGAUUCCCUUAGUAGUGGCGAGCGAACGGGGACUAGCCCUUAAGUGGCUUUGAGAUUAGCGGAACGCUCUGGAAAGUGCGGCCAUAGUGGGUGAUAGCCCUGUACGCGAAAAUCUCUUAGUCAUGAAAUCGAGUAGGACGGAGCACGAGAAACUUUGUCUGAAUAUGGGGGGACCAUCCUCCAAGGCUAAAUACUACUGACUGACCGAUAGUGAACUAGUACCGUGAGGGAAAGGCGAAAAGAACCCCGGAGAGGGGAGUGAAAUAGAUCCUGAAACCGUAUGCGUACAAGCAGUGGGAGCCUACUUUGUUAGGUGACUGCGUACCUUUUGUAUAAUGGGUCAGCGACUUAUUUUCAGUGGCGAGCUUAACCGAAUAGGGGAGGCGUAGCGAAAGCGAGUCUUAAUAGGGCGUCUAGUCGCUGGGAAUAGACCCGAAACCGGGCGAUCUAUCCAUGGGCAGGUUGAAGGUUGGGUAACACUAACUGGAGGACCGAACCGACUACCGUUGAAAAGUUAGCGGAUGACCUGUGGAUCGGAGUGAAAGGCUAAUCAAGCUCGGAGAUAGCUGGUUCUCCUCGAAAGCUAUUUAGGUAGCGCCUCAUGUAUCACUGUAGGGGGUAGAGCACUGUUUCGGCUAGGGGGUCAUCCCGACUUACCAAACCGAUGCAAACUCCGAAUACCUACAAGUGCCGAGCAUGGGAGACACACGGCGGGUGCUAACGUCCGUCGUGAAAAGGGAAACAACCCAGACCGUCAGCUAAGGUCCCAAAGUUAUGGUUAAGUGGGAAACGAUGUGGGAAGGCUUAGACAGCUAGGAGGUUGGCUUAGAAGCAGCCACCCUUUAAAGAAAGCGUAAUAGCUCACUAGUCGAGUCGGCCUGCGCGGAAGAUGUAACGGGGCUCAAACCAUACACCGAAGCUACGGGUAUCACGUAAGUGAUGCGGUAGAGGAGCGUUCUGUAAGCCUGUGAAGGUGAGUUGAGAAGCUUGCUGGAGGUAUCAGAAGUGCGAAUGCUGACAUGAGUAACGACAAUGGGUGUGAAAAACACCCACGCCGAAAGACCAAGGUUUCCUGCGCAACGUUAAUCGACGCAGGGUUAGUCGGUCCCUAAGGCGAGGCUGAAAAGCGUAGUCGAUGGAAAACAGGUUAAUAUUCCUGUACUUCUGGUUAUUGCGAUGGAGGGACGGAGAAGGCUAGGCCAGCUUGGCGUUGGUUGUCCAAGUUUAAGGUGGUAGGCUGAGAUCUUAGGUAAAUCCGGGAUCUUAAGGCCGAGAGCUGAUGACGAGUGUUCUUUUAGAACACGAAGUGGUUGAUGCCAUGCUUCCAAGAAAAGCUUCUAAGCUUCAGGUAACCAGGAACCGUACCCCAAACCGACACAGGUGGUUGGGUAGAGAAUACCAAGGCGCUUGAGAGAACUCGGGUGAAGGAACUAGGCAAAAUGGCACCGUAACUUCGGGAGAAGGUGCGCCGGUGAGGGUGAAGGACUUGCUCCGUAAGCUCAUGCCGGUCGAAGAUACCAGGCCGCUGCGACUGUUUAUUAAAAACACAGCACUCUGCAAACACGAAAGUGGACGUAUAGGGUGUGACGCCUGCCCGGUGCCGGAAGGUUAAUUGAUGGGGUUAGCUAACGCGAAGCUCUUGAUCGAAGCCCCGGUAAACGGCGGCCGUAACUAUAACGGUCCUAAGGUAGCGAAAUUCCUUGUCGGGUAAGUUCCGACCUGCACGAAUGGCGUAACGAUGGCGGCGCUGUCUCCACCCGAGACUCAGUGAAAUUGAAAUCGCUGUGAAGAUGCAGUGUAUCCGCGGCUAGACGGAAAGACCCCGUGAACCUUUACUAUAGCUUUGCACUGGACUUUGAAUUUGCUUGUGUAGGAUAGGUGGGAGGCUUUGAAGCGUGGACGCCAGUCUGCGUGGAGCCAACCUUGAAAUACCACCCUGGCAACUUUGAGGUUCUAACUCAGGUCCGUUAUCCGGAUCGAGGACAGUGUAUGGUGGGUAGUUUGACUGGGGCGGUCUCCUCCUAAAGAGUAACGGAGGAGUACGAAGGUGCGCUCAGACCGGUCGGAAAUCGGUCGUAGAGUAUAAAGGCAAAAGCGCGCUUGACUGCGAGACAGACACGUCGAGCAGGUACGAAAGUAGGUCUUAGUGAUCCGGUGGUUCUGUAUGGAAGGGCCAUCGCUCAACGGAUAAAAGGUACUCCGGGGAUAACAGGCUGAUACCGCCCAAGAGUUCAUAUCGACGGCGGUGUUUGGCACCUCGAUGUCGGCUCAUCACAUCCUGGGGCUGAAGCCGGUCCCAAGGGUAUGGCUGUUCGCCAUUUAAAGUGGUACGCGAGCUGGGUUUAGAACGUCGUGAGACAGUUCGGUCCCUAUCUGCCGUGGACGUUUGAGAUUUGAGAGGGGCUGCUCCUAGUACGAGAGGACCGGAGUGGACGAACCUCUGGUGUUCCGGUUGUCACGCCAGUGGCAUUGCCGGGUAGCUAUGUUCGGAAUAGAUAACCGCUGAAAGCAUCUAAGCGGGAAACUAGCCUCAAGAUGAGAUCUCACUGGAACCUUGAGUUCCCUGAAGGGCCGUCGAAGACUACGACGUUGAUAGGUUGGGUGUGUAAGCGCUGUGAGGCGUUGAGCUAACCAAUACUAAUUGCCCGUGAGGCUUGACCAUAUAACACCCA